This 378-nucleotide unclassified non-coding RNA is filed under the name uncultured bacterium. RNAcentral's name for it is "contains 16S-23S intergenic spacer region". The record is from RNAcentral.
UCCGCCUUAUCGACGGCGGUCUCCCUAGAGUGCCCAACAUGAUUUGCUGGCAACUAGGGACAAGGGUUGCGCUCGUUGCGGGACUUAACCCAACAUCUCACGACACGAGCUGACGACAGCCAUGCAGCACCUGUGCACCGACCCCGAAGGGAGGGUGUGUUUCCACACCUGUCCGGUGCAUGUCAAACCUGGGUAAGGUUCUUCGCGUUGCAUCGAAUUAAUCCACAUGCUCCGCCGCUUGUGCGGGCCCCCGUCAAUUUCUUUGAGUUUUAGCCUUGCGGCCGUACUCCCCAGGCGGGGUACUUACUGCGUUAGCGACGGCACCGGGAGGGUCGCUCCCCCCGACGCCUAGUGCCCAUCGUUUACGGCGUGGACUAC